UCUUUGCUUCUGAGAAGGUACAGAAAACCUAGGCUUACCACAAUAUUGCAACUAACUGUUGAAUGAUUCCAUAAAUGCCCAUUACAAUUUAUCACAAAAGAAAACAUAGCUCAAAGUUUUUCCAAUGUAUACUCUAACUUCAAUCUGAGGUUGUGCAAUCUUGCAACCAUUUACUGUUCUUUUGUUUAUGGGGGGUCAAAAUGGUUAGAGAAAGUGAAAAAAAAAAAAGACUCUCUUAUACAUCAUACAAAUUUGUAAACCAAGAUGUAUUUGACUCUUCCUACUCUGGAUAUUCAAGUUAGAUUCCUCGAGUAGAGGUGAUUUGACCUCAUAUAGUUCUCAAUAUUUAGCUGUGUUCUUCUUUCACAAUGUAUCAAACUCACAGGACUUGGAUCAUGUUUAAACAGAUUUACCCUGCAAGAAGCAGUAUAUGAUGAGAUGAUGCUUUCCCCAAUCAUAAACAACAUUAAUCUUGUGGAGAUUUGACUGGUAAAUUUUCUUUCUUUAUUUUUACAAAGAAUAAAUAUUGCAGAUGGAAUCAGAUCUUCUUCUUUGCAAAGGAUAUGCAGUGUUUAAUCAAUGCUGCCUCUCAUCCUUACAAGUCACAUAAUUUUUUUUUAAUCAGAAUUUUUAAAUAAUUUAUUUUUAUUAUAUUAAAUGAUACAUAAGAUAUUUUCGUUUUGAUUCGAACAUAAACCUAUCAAUUAUAAGUAUUGUGUCAAAAAAGAUAUAUAUUGGAGUUAAGUCCAUUAACUCUUCUCGUUUCCUUGAUAUUUAUAAGAUUCCAAAGAACUCCAUUGACAUUAUGGAAGAACUGAUGUUAUCGGGUUAAUGGAUCCGAAACGGCUCCAGUGGAUCCGAACGAGAGUAAAACCGGCCCAACAUGGCGAUGCAAAGCAUUUGAAUCCGGAGACGACGACCAAGAUUCAUAACAAACCACCCCUCAAUGCGCCUAUAAUUUACCCGCACUGCCAUCCAAACUCCAAACCGUGGUACCGACCCCCACUGCUUUUUUGGACCACCGGACCGAUGAGAUCUGUCCACGUGUAUACAUGGGGUCCACGUAGACACGCCGCCCCUGGUAUUCGACUCCCCCCUAAUUCCUUUCACCGGUCGCUCUCUUUAGGGUUUCCAGGUAGAUCAGCUCUUCUUCUUCGUCUUCUUCAAGGUAAAAGAAGAAAUGAGGGACCGGACGAGUUUUGUUCGAUUUAGUGUUCCGUAUCUUUGUAUUCUCGAUCUCCGUGCCUUAGCUUUUGUUGGCGUUGAAUGGUGCUUCGCGAAUUCGUAGGGUUUGAGUUGAACGUAGGGUUUACGGUUUUCGAUUUCAGUUGAUUCCUUGCUUGAACAAGGUCAAAGUAUUUUUUAUGCAAGGAGUCAUUGAUUUCGGUUCACAGGGGACGGUUGAGCCUUCGGGGGUAACCUGCUGAUUACGUCAACGACAUCGGCGGGUGAGGAGCGAUUCUCAUUCUUGAUUUCUUGAUCUUCGAGGUGAUUUCAUCUUUGGAUUGUUUAAAUACCUUUCUCUUUAUUUCCUAAUGGUUGCUAUUUUGUAAUGUUUUUCCUUUUCCUGUUUCGUGUCCUGCUUUGGUAUGAAGAACUUGUGUUGCCUGAGAUUUUGACGGGUUGGUGAUCGACGUUUCAUGAGCCUGAAAUUUGAGUUUCUUGCUUUUCGUAGUUAGCAGAAUCCCUGCUAAAACUCUCUGUUGGUGCAGUUGAGAGCAGGCAAUUUAUGCUAAAGAAAAUUGUCUGCGAAGCAUUUGUCCUGCUUAAGUAAAAAGAGGGUUGAACUUGGCUUAGAAGCAUGUUCUUCACAGUUUAAAGGUGGAGAUAGCUUGAAGUUUCCUAUGCCAAACCUUUUAGCUUGUGAAAGAGUGUUGGAUGUAACUAUGUCACCACUGAGAAUCUUUAGUCAGUUUGAUGCUUUGAUAUUCGGAACAAAAAUUAAACUUAAAGAGCACUUCUUUUCCCUAAAUCUUUGGUAAUAUUUUUACUGUUACAUAUUGCGUAGUCCUCAGUCUUUAGAGGGAUUGGGGAGGAAUUCACUACGUUAUGGAUGGUGAAUAAAAUUGCUUUCAAUUAUGUGAUUCGCAAUAAUUACAAUGUGCUAUGGACGGUGAUGUAACCAAGAUUUUCUUUGACACACACUAGUCACCAUCUAUGAAUAGCAUUUGAACUCUUCUCUUGCGCUUUCUGUUCUCAUGCUUCUUUAUGUUGGAUGGUCUGUUUACCUCUGUUUCUCUUGGUAUCGGAAAGCCCAUUUACUACCCAGAUUAAUUAAACGAAAUAUAACUUUUGAUUUCCAUGUCAGGAGCUUUUGGUGAAUUGAACUUGUUAGCAGAAACCCUGGAAGUUCACCUUGAUUUGACCUUUGAAGGUAAGAUUACAGUAUUGCUGGUGCAAUUGGCAGUUAAGAUGUUAGUACUUCAAAGUUUUCAAAUUUCUGUAGGAUGAAGUGCCUUUUGCUUGUAACCCUGUUGCUUCUUCACAUGUUCCUUGUUUCUAUCUCAGUCUAGCAACAGGAUUCAAAAGCCGUUAUGUCCAUGAAUAGUACUGAAGCUUCAUUUUUUUAUGUAUAAAUAUAUAUUAUUAAAAAGAAGUUUACUGUCUAAUAUGUCCUGACAUGCACACCAUGUAUAAGUUAUCUAUAGCACUUCUACUGUCUCUAAGUAACUCAGUGGCAACUCGAUUGCUGGUUUCUUUACCUUUUCUAUGUCUGUGUCCAUGCUUUUUUUAUUUUUCCGAGUGGGUGGGUUGUAGAGAGUAUCGUGGUUUUUGAUGAAACCAAGUGAAGGAACGUUGAGGCGGAGAUCCUGUCUAACUACCAAGAGAGAGGUGGAAGUCCCUACAUUGUGACAUAUAAAGUACAAUCUAAAGAUUACAACGUUAGGCCUAUGAUGCCUGGAAACCAAGUGAUGUUGUUUAAAAGAAACCUGCCCUAAGAUCAUGAAGGUGCAUCAAGGCCACUGUUCUGUCUAUAGUACUGUAGCUCUUCAAGUGCUUUCAGUAUUUGUUUUUGUUAAUGGAGGUUUUGCCAUUUUGGAAUGCUA
Molecule: long non-coding RNA, 3047 nt
Filed under: Musa acuminata (dwarf banana)
Lineage: Eukaryota; Viridiplantae; Streptophyta; Magnoliopsida; Zingiberales; Musaceae
Description: long non-coding RNA (MACU_LNC004361)
Source: RNAcentral